AGUGAACGCUGGCGGUAGGCCUAACACAUGCAAGUCGAACGGCAGCACAGUAAGAGCUUGCUCUUACGGGUGGCGAGUGGCGGACGGGUGAGGAAUACAUCGGAAUCUACUUUUUCGUGGGGGAUAACGUAGGGAAACUUACGCUAAUACCGCAUACGACCUACGGGUGAAAGCAGGGGAUCUUCGGACCUUGCGCGAUUGAAUGAGCCGAUGUCGGAUUAGCUAGUUGGCGGGGUAAAGGCCCACCAAGGCGACGAUCCGUAGCUGGUCUGAGAGGAUGAUCAGCCACACUGGAACGGAGACACGGUCCAGACUCCUACGGGAGGCAGCAGUGGGGAAUAUUGGACAAUGGGCGCAAGCCUGAUCCAGCCAUACCGCGUGGGUGAAGAAGGCCUUCGGGUUGUAAAGCCCCUUUGUUGGGAAAGAAAAGCAGCAGGUUAAUACCCCGCUGUUCUGACGGUACCCAAAGAAUAAGCACCGGCUAACUUCGUG
Molecule: ribosomal RNA, 492 nt
Filed under: uncultured bacterium
Lineage: Bacteria
Description: partial 16S ribosomal RNA
Rfam family: Bacterial small subunit ribosomal RNA
Source: RNAcentral